CAGCAGCCGCGGUAAUACGGAGGGUGCAAGCGUUAAUCGGAAUUACUGGGCGUAAAGCGCACGCAGGCGGUCUGACAAGUCAGAUGUGAAAUCCCCGGGCUUAACCUGGGAACUGCAUUUGAAACUGUCAGGCUGGAGUCUUGUAGAGGGGGGUAGAACUCCAGGUGUAGCGGUGAAAUGCGUAGAGAUCUGGAGGAAUACCGGUGGCGAAGGCGGCCCCCUGGACAAAGACUGACGCUCAGGUGCGAAAGCGUGGGGAGCAAACAGGAUUAGAUACCCCUGUAGUCCCUGUCUCUUAUAC
RNAcentral lists this ribosomal RNA (301 nucleotides) under uncultured bacterium. Its description in RNAcentral is "partial 16S ribosomal RNA". It matches the Rfam family "Bacterial small subunit ribosomal RNA", at positions 509 to 807 of the family's 1533-position model. The record is from RNAcentral.